This 164-nucleotide ribosomal RNA is filed under the name uncultured bacterium. RNAcentral's name for it is "partial 16S rRNA". It matches the Rfam family "Bacterial small subunit ribosomal RNA", at positions 355 to 511 of the family's 1533-position model. The record is from RNAcentral.
UAGGGAAUCUUCCACAAUGGGCGAAAGCCUGAUGGAGCAACGCCGCGUGUGUGAUGAAGGGUUUCGGCUCGUAAAACACUGUUGUAAGAGAAGAAUGACAUUGAGAGUAACUGUUCAAUGUGUGACGGUAUCUUACCUAGAAAGGACGGCUAAAUACGUGCCAC